Malania oleifera is the source of this 848-nucleotide long non-coding RNA. RefSeq lists it as uncharacterized. The transcript is spliced from 2 exons. The record is from RefSeq and is a predicted model, not a curated record. NCBI's taxonomy places the organism in Eukaryota, Viridiplantae, Streptophyta, Magnoliopsida, Santalales, Ximeniaceae.
CAGUGCAGUACUACUACAGUUUCCAAAAAGGACCAAGAAAGGCACAUUUCUCCAGCAGCAGAAGCCUAAUUAAUUGGUUAACGACCCAUGUUACCAGGCCACUGUCUCUUCCAAAGCCAGCAGCUUCAACCCUGUCUGAACUCUGGAACCAUAUAACCCCAUCACCACACCUCUCUAUUCCCUAGCUUCAUCUCUCUCUCUCUCUCUCUCUCUCUCUCUCUUCAUGCCUUCCCUCUCUGCUUAAUUAAUUCUUCUCCAGCACCCAACGACACGCCACCCAUACACAUUUAGACUCCAUUACAUCAUGAGAGUUUCCAAAAUGGCAUCUGCGAUCACUGUGCUUCUCAUCAUCAUCUGUCUUUCCCUCUCAUUUUUACCUUCCGAAUCAGGUAAUUAAGAGGUGUUUUUGCAGCUGGGUCACUUCUUUCAAGCCAAACCAGACGCAGUGUGGGAUAUCGAUAUGAAGGGGAAAGAAGGAAAAUGACGGUGUUGGGUUCAAGGCCGCCGGCAUGCGUGAACAAGUGCUUGAGCUGCAAGCCCUGCACUGCUGCGCUGGUGGUUCCUCCUUCCCACCAAAGAAAAGGGGGCUUCGGAGCAUCAUCAUCCCAUGGAGGGGAUGAUGGCUAUUAUCUCCUUUCAUGGAAAUGCAAAUGUGGCAACAAGUUCUUCCAACCUUGAUCAUAUAUGUUAGUAAUAAUUAACACUCUCAAUUUUUCCAUAUAGACAUUAAUUCCUUCUCUCUCUCUCUCUCUCUCUCUCUCUCUCUCUCUCUCUCUCUCUCUCCUCAUUGUGUGUUGUGUGAAAGAUAACAUAUUUUAAGAUGUCAAUGAUAUUCAUAUGUGCAGUAA